RNAcentral lists this ribosomal RNA (407 nucleotides) under uncultured Frateuria sp. Its description in RNAcentral is "bacterial SSU rRNA". It matches the Rfam family "Bacterial small subunit ribosomal RNA", at positions 509 to 914 of the family's 1533-position model. Lineage: Bacteria; Pseudomonadati; Pseudomonadota; Gammaproteobacteria; Lysobacterales; Rhodanobacteraceae. The record is from RNAcentral.
CAGCAGCCGCGGUAAUACGAAGGGUGCAAGCGUUAAUCGGAAUUACUGGGCGUAAAGCGUGCGUAGGCGGUCUUUUAAGUCUGCUGUGAAAUCCCCGGGCUCAACCUGGGAAUGGCAGUGGAUACUGGGAGGCUAGAGUGUGUCAGAGGAUGGUGGAAUUCCCGGUGUACCGGUGAAAUGCGUAGAGAUCGGGAGGAACAUCAGUGGCGAAGGCGGCCAUCUGGGACAACACUGACGCUGAGGCACGAAAGCGUGGGGAGCAAACAGGAUUAGAUACCCUGGUAGUCCACGCCCUAAACGAUGCGAACUGGAUGUUGGUCUCAACUCGGAGAUCAGUGUCGAAGCUAACGCGUUAAGUUCGCCGCCUGGGGAGUACGGUCGCAAGACUGAAACUCAAAGGAAUUGAC